AGGCACAGCUGUCCUUCACUCGCACGGAGCAACCUCGGGACAGAUGGUGGGAGAGGAAGGGCAACUCGAGGAGGCACAUUUUAGGAAACUGCCCACGGAGCCAGUUUCGAUUCUCCAAACCUCGUCAGCAUGCAGAGGCUCCCUGACUCGGCAGCAAGGAGGGCCUCAUCAGCCGACCCCCAUGCCCGGCACCCCCUUCACCAGGUCCUGAAAACUCCAGAGAGCAGUGCCCUGUGCAUUAAACACAGACUGCGCCCUUGUACUCAGGAGGAUGCAAUUCUCUCUCUAAAGUCGAGAGCUCACCACCCCGGGCGUUCGUCACUGCAGACAUCACUGCAGACACAGAGACGGCCAUUAGAGCUCACCACCCCGGGCGUUCGUCACUGCAGACAUCACUGCAGACACAGAGAAGGCCAUUAGAGCUCACCACCCCGGGCGUUCGUCACUGCAGACAUCACUGCAGACACAGAGACGGCCAUUAUGCAGCCUCACGUGGUCACUCCUGGGGGCGGUAGGAUAUUUUAUCCUAAAGAGAAAACACCUUAAAUUCUCACAUCAGCCACCCCCAUGGCGACUCUUAACACCUUAAUGUAGCACCUUCCAACUUUUCCUGGGCAUUUAUGUACAAAUUGUAAUAAAAUUGGGUUCUUACUGCAUACGCUGCUUGCUGGUUUCUAAAUAAAAUUGGGUUCUUACU
Molecule: long non-coding RNA, 697 nt
Filed under: Homo sapiens (human)
Lineage: Eukaryota; Metazoa; Chordata; Mammalia; Primates; Hominidae
Description: LHRI_LNC158.4
Source: RNAcentral